Molecule: ribosomal RNA, 593 nt
Filed under: uncultured fungus
Lineage: Eukaryota; Fungi
Description: eukaryotic LSU rRNA
Rfam family: 5.8S ribosomal RNA (bases 231-384)
Source: RNAcentral
CUUGGUCAUUUAGAGGAAGUAAAAGUCGUAACAAGGUUUCCGUAGGUGAACCUGCGGAAGGAUCAUUAAAGAGACGUUGCCCUUCGGGGUAUACCUCCCACCCUUUGUUUAUUAUACCUUUGUUGCUUUGGCGGGCCCGUCCUCGGACCACCGGCUUCGGCUGGUCAGCGCCCGCCAGAGGACCUAAAACUCUGUUUGUUCAUAUUGUCUGAGUACUAUAUAAUAGUUAAAACUUUCAACAACGGAUCUCUUGGUUCUGGCAUCGAUGAAGAACGCAGCGAAAUGCGAUAAGUAAUGUGAAUUGCAGAAUUCAGUGAAUCAUCGAAUCUUUGAACGCACAUUGCGCCCCCUGGUAUUCCGGGGGGCAUGCCUGUUCGAGCGUCAUUACAACCCUCAAGCUCUGCUUGGUAUUGGGCUCUGCCGGUCCCGGCAGGCCUUAAAAUCAGUGGCGGUGCCAUUCGGCUUCAAGCGUAGUAAUUCUUCUCGCUUUGGAGGCCCGGGUGCGUGCUUGCCAGCAACCCCCAAUUUUUUCAGGUUGACCUCGGAUCAGGUAGGGAUACCCGCUGAACUUAAGCAUAUCAAUAAGCGGAGGA